RNAcentral lists this long non-coding RNA (433 nucleotides) under Glycine max (soybean). RNAcentral describes it as "long non-coding RNA (GMAX_LNC002710)". The record is from RNAcentral. Lineage: Eukaryota; Viridiplantae; Streptophyta; Magnoliopsida; Fabales; Fabaceae.
UCAAUCAACAAGCUUUUCUGGAUAUAUGCCUCAAGAAUGUGAACAAAGUUUUCAAACACCGGGAGUCUCAUUAUAUGUGCCUCAAUACUCAUUUGAAGUUUCUUUUACCUCAAAUGUUUUUGAAGGACACUCACAAAUGUUUGCUACCACUUUCAACACUCUGCCAUUUGUAUACAACCCACCACCAUCGAGUUGUUGUUAUCAUCCAUCAUUACCUACCAUAUGCAUAACAUGGGUCAUGAGAAUGAGGAGGAAGAUGAUGAUAACACCAAUAAUGAUAAUGGCGAUGAUGAUGGUUAUGGUGGUGAUGAUGUUUCUCAACAACAACAAACGGUUAUACGUGAUCAUCCUAGAACAAUAAGAGGAAGAUGUCAUAAAAUAAGAGAACAACAACCACUAACAAAUCAAGUGCAACAAGAUAGAAGACCACAAC